RNAcentral lists this ribosomal RNA (253 nucleotides) under uncultured bacterium. RNAcentral's name for it is "partial 16S ribosomal RNA". It matches the Rfam family "Bacterial small subunit ribosomal RNA", at positions 524 to 776 of the family's 1533-position model. The record is from RNAcentral.
GACGGGGGGUGCUAGCGUUGUUCGGAAUUACUGGGCGUAAAGGGCGCGUAGGCGGCCGCUUGCGUCGGAUGUGAAAGCCCGGGGCUCAACCCCGGAACGGCAUCCGAUACGGGGCGGCUCGAGGCCGAGAGAGGUGAGUGGAAUACCCAGUGUAGAGGUGAAAUUCGUAGAUAUUGGGUGGAACACCGGUGGCGAAAGCGGCUCACUGGCUCGGUUCUGACGCUGAGGCGCGAAAGCGUGGGGAGCAAACAGG